GGAUUAGGCAUGCAAGUCGUACGAACGAGGUCCUUCGGGGCCUCGUGAGUGGCGAACGGGUGAGUAAUGCAUGGAUACCUACCCCGAUGACCGGGACAACCACUCGAAAGGGUGGCUAAUACCGGAUGCGGUCCUCACGGACCAAAGCUGGCCUCUGCUUGCAAGCUGGCGCACCGGGAGGGGUUCAUGUGCUAUUAGCUAGUUGGUGAGGUAACGGCUCACCAAGGCGAUGAUGGCUAGCCGGCCUGAGAGGGUGUCCGGCCACACUGGGACUGAGACACUGCCCAGACUCCUACGGGAGGCUGCAGUCGAGAAUCUUCUACCAAUGCGCGAAAGCGUGAUGGAGCGACGCCGCGUGGGCGAUGAAGGCCUUCGGGUUGUAAAGCCCUGUUGGAUGGGCGUAAUCCCUCGGGACGAACACUCUUCGAGGUUGAACUCCCAUCGGAGGAAGCACCGGCUAAACUCGUGCCAGCAGCCGCGGUAAUACGAGUGGUGCGAGCGUUGUUCGGAAUUACUGGGCAUAAAGAGCACGUAGGCGGUUGGGUAAGUCUGCUGUGAAAUCCCCCGGCUCAACCGGGGAACUGCAGUUGAUACUGCCUGGCUAGAGUGCGGGAGGGGAGAGCGGAAUUCCUGGUGGAGCGGUGAUAUGCGUAGAUAUCAGGAGGAACGCCGGAGGCGAAAGCGGCUCUCUGGUCCGCAACUGACGCUGAGGUGCGAAAGCUAGGGGAGCGAACAGGAUUAGAUACCCUGGUAGUCCUAGCCGUAAACGAUGGGCACUAAGUAGAGGGGUUUU
RNAcentral lists this ribosomal RNA (793 nucleotides) under uncultured Planctomycetota bacterium. RNAcentral describes it as "bacterial SSU rRNA". It matches the Rfam family "Bacterial small subunit ribosomal RNA", at positions 46 to 832 of the family's 1533-position model. Lineage: Bacteria; Pseudomonadati; Planctomycetota. The record is from RNAcentral.